UCCAUGACACCCCUGGCUGUGCUACAUGCCAGGCUGUGACUCUGAUGCUGGUGCGCCCAGCACAACCUCCCACCAGCCCGUUCCCCUCCGCUUCCUCACCUCUGGAGCGGGGAACAACCAAAGUCCUCCCUCCAGGGUUGCUCUGAAAAGGAAAGUGUGGGCACACAGCAGGCAGACACCUGAAGAACACGACCUGUGAUGACCUGGGUUACCAAGGCUUUAGUAAUUUAGCCAAUGCUUAGCCUCCCACAAGAAUUACUUAAUUAGAAGAACCUGUAAUUUCGCAGCUUCUGAUGUAAAUGAGUCUCUGCAGUGAUAAGACCACAACCCUUGUCUGUUACUCUCACCAUAGAUACUGUUGAAUUCUGCUGUUCUUUUACUUCAGUUUUCCUAAGUCUUCACUGCCAGACAAUUAAAAUUUAAAGCCUAGGCAAAUCUUAA
Cebus imitator (Panamanian white-faced capuchin) is the source of this 441-nucleotide long non-coding RNA. RefSeq lists it as uncharacterized. The record is from RefSeq and is a predicted model, not a curated record. NCBI's taxonomy places the organism in Eukaryota, Metazoa, Chordata, Mammalia, Primates, Cebidae. The transcript is spliced from 2 exons.